Molecule: long non-coding RNA, 573 nt
Filed under: Nicotiana benthamiana
Lineage: Eukaryota; Viridiplantae; Streptophyta; Magnoliopsida; Solanales; Solanaceae
Description: long non-coding RNA (NBEN_LNC013269)
Source: RNAcentral
UUUACAUCUAUUUUAGUUUAUGGCCAUAUGCCUGAAUACAUUUGCCCCACUAAUUCACAUUUGCACCUUGUAGGCCGUUAUGAAUGAUGUGCUCCCUACCAUAAAUUUUUGAAUUUUCCGGGCUCGGACCCAAUAUAUGGGUCUAUAUUUGAACGUCUUGGUAAGUGCAGACAAUUAAGAUCGAGGACAGAGUCGACCAUGGACCAAUAGCGAGGAGUCAUCUCAAGAAGGACUAUUGACGACGUUAAGUAAAUGGAGCAAGGAGGCCGGGGUAUGAUAGCUUGUUAAUAUACAUCAGGAAUAUUCCAUUGAAUAUUCCUUAUGUUGUACUUUUUAGGGUUUCUAAUAAUUAUUUCUUAUAAAUAGGACGAGAUAAAGAAAAAAGGGGACCUUCACUUUUUGAUAAGAUCACUUUAUAAAGAGUUGACUAAGAAGAAUAUACAAAUAUUGUAUUGUUCACUGACUACUUGGCUCAACAUAUGUUAUUCAUUCUUUGUUUGCUAGAUUCAAAGGUUUCUUAUCCCUCUUCACUUUCCAUCAUCACCAAAUUGCUGUCAGGAGAAAGAAUCAUCC